GCCAUCACUUAGCCAACAGGCUGAACAUAACUGUUUAGCUAUUACAUAAAUAUCCCUUUCUAAAAGAGCAUAUCUAUAAGGCAAUCAGAGAGAGGUUUGACAGCUCCUGUUAAAUCCGAAUUGUGCAGUUCUAGCUGUAGGCCUGUUCUGUGUAACACAGUUUAGACAAUCCAGUGUCCUACCCAGUCCAAAAUACACAGUGUUUUUCAGGUAAUUGGUGUGGCCUCAGGCAGAGGAGCUCACAGAUGUGGCUCAGACAGGCUUUUUGUUUAUAUGUUAAAUGUGCUGGAAAUGGGAACCGGAAUUGGAUGUGUCAACUAACAAAGAACACAUACCUUUUUAUAUCUCUCUCUGUCUCUCUCUCAGAGAGCUGCCAAUGUCUGAAGGCGCAGAAGAGAUGGUUUGUGCCAAUGAGGCAUAUGCUGAUUCCCAGGAGUCUUCACCAGGUGCCACAAGCCCAGAGUUUCAUGUUGUUGAGCAGGAUGCCCUUGAUUCUAAAGCUGCAGAGAGAGAAAAACUUGGAGUCCUUGCUAGACUGACUAGCAUUAUAGCAUUUCCCAUCUUCCUGCUGUUCAGAAGGAGCUGAUGACGUCGAUGACACAAAAACUAUCAAGUUCCUGGGCAUUUUCAUACUAGUCCUUACCAUCAUUAUUUGAAAAUGAAUUCUGUAAACCUCAUAAAAUAGUUCACUGUUCUUUUACAAAAGACAU
Ictalurus punctatus (channel catfish) is the source of this 710-nucleotide long non-coding RNA. The record is from Ensembl. NCBI's taxonomy places the organism in Eukaryota, Metazoa, Chordata, Actinopteri, Siluriformes, Ictaluridae.